UCCCGUAUUUGGCCCGUGCGACGGCGUCUACGCUUGCCGGAGAGUCGGGUUGCUCGGGAUUGCAGCCUGAAUGGGAGGUAAAUUUCUCCUAAAGCUAAAUACUGGCGAGAGACCGAUAGCGAACAAGUACCGUGAGGGAAAGAUGCAAAGAACUUUGAAAAGAGAGUUAAAAAGUACCUGAACUUGUUGGGGGGAAAGCGGUUGCUUCCAGUGUGCGCGCGCCAAUUCAGCCUUUGGGUGUACUUUGGCGCGCGCGGUCAGGGUGGGUUUGCCGCGGCGUUGACGUCCCUCGCGAGGCCUUCGGGCAACCGGGUGGUCCUGCGUCGCUGUGGACCGAGGCUCGCUCUGCGGCGGGGUCGGCCGAUCGUCUUUGGCGUCUCACAAGCAACUUGUGCUCGCCGGGCGUGACUCCCUACCUGCCCCACCAGCGUGACCCUGACGAAAUGGGCGCCACCGACCCGUCUAGAAACACGGACCAAGGAGUCUGACGACUGCGCGAGUCUUCGGGUUGCAACCCCGUGGGCGUAAUGAAAGUGAGUGAUGCUCAGCAUCGACCGACCGUGAUCUCCUGUGAUUGGUUUGAGUAUGAGCGUGGUCGCCGGGACCCGAAAGAUGGUGAACUAUGCCUGAGUAGGGUGAAGCCUGAAGAAAUUCAGGUGGAGGCUCGUAGCGAUACUGACGUGCAAAUCGUUCGUCGAACUUGGGUAUAGGGGCGAAAGACUAAUCGAACCAUCUAGUAGCUGGUUCCCUCCGAAGUUUCCCUCAGGAUAGCUGGAGCUCUUUGUUCAGUUUUGU
Molecule: ribosomal RNA, 795 nt
Filed under: Diacronema virescens
Lineage: Eukaryota; Haptophyta; Pavlovophyceae; Pavlovales; Pavlovaceae
Description: eukaryotic LSU rRNA
Rfam family: Eukaryotic large subunit ribosomal RNA
Source: RNAcentral